CAACGCUGGCGGCGUGCCUAACACAUGCAAGUCGAACGAGUCCAACCCGGUGGCAACACUGGUGAAGACCGAGUGGCGAACGGGUGAGUAACACGUGAGCAACUGCCCCAAAGACUGGGAUAACCCCGGGAAACCGGAGUUAAUACCGGGAUACCCCCACCGGGUCUCAUGGCUGGUGAGGAAAUGGAUUCCGCUUUGGGAGGGGCUCGCGGCCUAUCAGCUUGAUGGUGGGGUAACGGCCCACCAUGGCACCGACGGGUAGCUGGUCUGAGAGGACGAUCAGCCACACUGGGACUGAGACACGGCCCAGACUCCUACGGGAGGCAGCAGUGGGGAAUCUUGCGCAAUGGGCGAAAGCCUGACGCAGCAACGCCGCGUGAGGGACGAAGGCCUUCUGGGUUGUAAACCUCUUUCAGCAGGGACGAUGAUGACGGUACCUGCAGAAGAAGCCCCGGCCAACUACGUGCCAGCAGCCGCGGUAAUACGUAGGGGGCGAGCGUUGUCCGGAAUUAUUGGGCGUAAAGAGCUCGUAGGCGGCUUGGCAAGUCACGUGUGAAAUCUCCAGGCUCAACCUGGAGAUGCCACGUGAUACUGCCAUGGCUUGAGUCCGGUAGGGGACCAUGGAAUUCCUGGUGUAGCGGUGAAAUGCGCAGAUAUCAGGAGGAACACCAGUGGCGAAGGCGGUGGUCUGGGCCGGUACUGACGCUGAGGAGCGAAAGCGUGGGGAGCGAACAGGAUUAGAUACCCUGGUAGUCCACGCCGUAAACGUUGGGCACUAGGUGUGGGGCCCUAUCGACGGGUUCCGUGCCGCAGCUAACGCAUUAAGUGCCCCGCCUGGGGAGUACGGCCGCAAGGCUGAA
RNAcentral lists this ribosomal RNA (860 nucleotides) under uncultured soil bacterium. RNAcentral describes it as "bacterial SSU rRNA". It matches the Rfam family "Bacterial small subunit ribosomal RNA", at positions 31 to 898 of the family's 1533-position model. The record is from RNAcentral.